UACGGAAUGCGCAAACGUUAUUCGGAAUCACUGGGCUUAAAGAGUCCGUAGGCGGCAUGUUAGGUGAGGUGUGAAAUCCCCCGGCUCAACCGAGGAAUUGCGCUUCAAACCGGCGUGCUUGAGGAAGAUAGAGGUGGGCGGAACUGAUGGUGGAGCGGUGAAAUGCGUUGAUAUCAUCAGGAACACCGGAGGCGAAGGCGGCCCACUGGGUCUUUUCUGACGCUGAGGGACGAAAGCUAGGGGAGCGAACGGG
RNAcentral lists this ribosomal RNA (253 nucleotides) under uncultured bacterium. Its description in RNAcentral is "partial 16S ribosomal RNA". It matches the Rfam family "Bacterial small subunit ribosomal RNA", at positions 524 to 776 of the family's 1533-position model. The record is from RNAcentral.